RNAcentral lists this transfer RNA (65 nucleotides) under Trigonectes aplocheiloides. RNAcentral describes it as "tRNA-Cys". The record is from RNAcentral. Lineage: Eukaryota; Metazoa; Chordata; Actinopteri; Cyprinodontiformes; Rivulidae.
AGCUUUGAAGUUUUAUACGUUAGAUUGCAAAUCUAGAAAAGUCGGUUAAUUGCCGACCGGGGCUU